GACGAACGCUGGCGGCGUGCUUAACACAUGCAAGUCGAACGGUAAGGCCCUUCGGGGUACACGAGUGGCGAACGGGUGAGUAACACGUGGGUGAUCUGCCCUGCACUUCGGGAUAAGCCUGGGAAACUGGGUCUAAUACCGGAUAGGACUCCUGGCUUCAUGGUUGGGGGUGGAAAGCUUUUGCGGUGUGGGAAGGGCCCGCGGCCUAUCAGCUUGUUGGUGGGGUAAUGGCCUACCAAGGCGACGACGGGUAGCCGGCCUGAGGGGGUGACCGGUCACACUGGGACUGAGAUACGGCCCAGACUCCUACGGGAGGCAGCAGUGGGGAAUAUUGUACAAUGGGCGCAAGCCUGAUGCAGCGACGCCGCGUGAGGGAUGACGGCCUUCGGGUUGUAAACCUCUUUCAGCUAUGACGAAGCGCAAGUGACGGUAGUAGCAGAAGAAGGACCGGCCAACUACGUGCCAGCAGCCGCCGUAA
Molecule: ribosomal RNA, 478 nt
Filed under: uncultured bacterium
Lineage: Bacteria
Description: partial 16S ribosomal RNA
Rfam family: Bacterial small subunit ribosomal RNA
Source: RNAcentral